Molecule: RNA transcript, 1202 nt
Organism: Prosopis cineraria
Lineage: Eukaryota; Viridiplantae; Streptophyta; Magnoliopsida; Fabales; Fabaceae
Exons: 4
Source: RefSeq, a predicted model, not a curated record
UAAUGGGGGGCGCUGGACCUGGAACGAGCAGAGUGUGGGGAAGAGUGGAGGCUUUCACAAGAGGCGUGCGGGAAAACUUGCCGGUUCCAAAUCCAUUUGUGAUAAGCGGAGUCAGGUCAAAAUCUCUGACUCUCAUGGUUCUCGUCGUCCUCUCCAUCCCCCUGCCCUGCAAUUGCCCGCCCCCAUGGGAUUCUCCAAGGAACACCCCUCCAGACGCCUCUCGAGGGCUCUCAAGACUCUCUUCUUCUUGAUCGCCAUGCUCCUCUCUCUUCUCUUCUCCGCUCCCCUCCUCCUCGUCAUUGCCGACGCCCUUCUCCCUUCCGUUCUCCUCUCCGCCAUCUCCCCUUCUCCUCUCUCCCUCCAAACUCUCUCUUCCCAUUUCUAUCGCUACGACUUUCGACGAUCUCUCCUGGACAUACCCCUCGUCUCCAUUAUAAGAUCUUUCCUCAUCUUCUGCGUGUAUCUCUUGUGUGAUGGGCCGAGACUUUCGCGGGCGCCUUAUCUGGGUGCGACGAUGGCGUGCUCUGUUCUGUCAGUCAUGUUUGUAUCGCUGAAAGCUGUUUACGUGUUCGGCUUAUCGGGUGGAAGGAAUGGAAGAGCCUUGGAAAUAGCUCUGUUCGCGUGUUCCUAUGCUCUGGCCGUGGGGCAUAUCGUGGUUGCUUAUCGAACCAGUUGCAGGGAAAGGCGGAAGCUUCUGGUCUACAAAAUUGACAUCGAAUCGAUUUCAGCCUGCAAGGACGGGUAUCCGAGGCAUCCCAAGUUUCUGCGGGAGGAACGAGUGACACGAAGCAGCUAACAGACAGAAGCACGGAUCGGAUGAACUGUAGAUGGUAGAUGUAACAUAGGAGUUUUCAAAUUAGCAUCUUCGUUAGGCUAUUCACGCUUAACUGUCCACAGCCUUAAGGUAUUUUCAGGUUCAUCUGAAGGAUGACAGAAACCUUGACCUUAUUAUAAGGGCAGAAACUAACAUCACAUGGCACCCAUGACGCAUAGUGCAGUGGUGUCUAGGCGCGCGCGCGCGCGCGCGCACACACACAUAUAUGCCACGGCUCCACGCCUCAUGGCCAUGUUAUAUCUGACUUCCAUUUAGUUUAUUCUGUGAUUUUUUUGUUUACAAGGUAAUUUAUAGUAUAUUUUCUGUGUUAAUUUCCAAAAGGCCCGGUGAAGUUGAGAGGUUAUGGAUUGGCCAUCCAGCUCAAUAU